GGGGGAUAUUGCACAAUGGGGGAAACCCUGAUGCAGCGACGCCGCGUGGAGGAAGAAGGCUUUCGGAUUGUAAACUCCUGUCGUUAGGGACGAUAAUGACGGUACCUAACAAGAAAGCACCGGCUAACUACGUGCCAGCAGCCGCGGUAAAACGUAGGUCACAAGCGUUGUCCGGAAUUACUGGGUGUAAAGGGAGCGCAGGCGGGAAGACAAGUUGGAAGUGAAAUCCAUGGGCUCAACCCAUGAACUGCUUUCAAAACUGUUUUUCUUGAGUAGUGCAGAGGUAGGCGGAAUUCCCGGUGUAGCGGUGGAAUGCGUAGAUAUCGGGAGGAACACCAGUGGCGAAGGCGGCCUACUGGGCACCAACUGACGCUGAGGCUCGAAAGUGUGGGUAGCAAACAGGAUUAGAUACCCUGGUAGUCCACACCGUAAACGAUGAUUACUAGGUGUUGGAGGAUUGACCCCUUCAGUGCCGCAGUUAACACAAUAAGUAAUCCACCUGGGGAGUACGACCGCAAGGUUGAAACUCAAAGGAAUUGACGGGGGCCCGCACAAGCAGUGGAGUAUGUGGUUUAAUUCGACGCAACGCGAAGAACCUUACCAAGUCUUGACAUCCCUUGACGAUGCUGGAAACAGUAUUUCUCUUCGGAGCAAGGAGACAGGUGGUGCAUGGUUGUCGUCAGCUCGUGUCGUGAGAUGUUGGGUUAAGUCCCGCAACGAGCGCAACCCUUAUGGUCAGUUACUACGCAAGAGGACUCUGGCCAGACUGCCGUUGACAAAACGGAGGAAGGUGGGGAUGACGUCAAAUCAUCAUGCCCUUUAUGACUUGGGCUACACACGUACUACAAUGGCGUUAAACAAAGAGAAGCAAGACCGCGAGGUGGAGCAAAACUCAGAAACAACGCCCCAGUUCGGACUGCAGGCUGCAACUCGCCUGCACGAAGUCGGAAUUGCUAGUAAUCGUGGAUCAGCAUGCCACGGUGAAUACGUUCCCG
RNAcentral lists this ribosomal RNA (995 nucleotides) under uncultured bacterium. RNAcentral's name for it is "bacterial SSU rRNA". It matches the Rfam family "Bacterial small subunit ribosomal RNA", at positions 356 to 1376 of the family's 1533-position model. The record is from RNAcentral.